UAAAAUGCCAAUGAGCAGCUGCUGAAUGUUCAGGAGAAACACUGAGAUCCUACAGAAUCCUAAAUCUGCCUGCACCUCUGAGAAAGCUGCCUUCAGGAGGAAGAGCGUGUUCUGGCUUCCAAGUUCUUGAACUGAACAGCUACUGCAUCCUCUGGCUCUUUAGCACACAGACAGCCAUUGUGGACUCUCCAGGCUCUGAUCCUGAAUUUGCAUUCAGACAACUUGUUUGGGAAGUGACCCUCAGCAUAAGGCGGUGGAACAGGGAAGGAGGGAAACCAACACAAGGACGCAUCAUGGAAUGGACCACUGCCACUGGGCACUGUUGUAACAUUCUGAAGUGAGUCUCAGAACUGUCUCCCCACGGGACAAAAGGAAGCCAUUUUUAUCCUUUGACUCCUGUUGGCCAUUGGUUGAGGGUUACCCAGUGGAAUUUUUACUUCCCCACACUCCUGGGGAAGUUACACAGUUAUGAAUGUAAAGUUCAUUCUCCCCGCAUCCUGUGCCUCUGUAUUAAAGGGAGGCAGGAGCAGGAGGCAGUGUCACCUGAGAAGUGUGACAACAGGAACUAGCAUGGGACUCUCACUGCUGCUGGGUUGGGAGUGGUAGGUGGGGCUGAGAGAUAUUGACUUGUGUGUUGAAUACAGGAUAUUUGAAACAAAGUGUAUGUAUGCAUAUUGAGGUAUAUUAAAGUUAAUGAUUUAAAAAACCACAAGUCUAUUGCAAAGUUACUAAUAAAAUAUGUAUUAAAAAUACCACAGGUGUUUGG
Molecule: long non-coding RNA, 766 nt
Organism: Heterocephalus glaber (naked mole-rat)
Lineage: Eukaryota; Metazoa; Chordata; Mammalia; Rodentia; Bathyergidae
Source: Ensembl